UACGUAGGGGGCAAGCGUUGUCCGGAAUCAUUGGGCGUAAAGAGCGUGUAGGCGGCCCGGUAAGUCCGCUGUGAAAGUCCAGGGCUCAACCCUGGAAUGCCAGUGGAAACUGUCGGGCUGGAGUCCGGAAGAGGCGAGUGGAAUUCCUGGUGUAGCGGUGAAAUGCGCAGAUAUCAGGAGGAACACCAAUGGCGAAGGCAGCUCGCUGGGACGGUACUGACGCUGAGACGCGAAAGCGUGGGGAGCAAACAGG
This 253-nucleotide ribosomal RNA is filed under the name uncultured bacterium. RNAcentral's name for it is "partial 16S ribosomal RNA". It matches the Rfam family "Bacterial small subunit ribosomal RNA", at positions 524 to 776 of the family's 1533-position model. The record is from RNAcentral.